UUUGUUGCCUUUCGAGUCCCUCAGUUCCAAUCCCCAGCGAAGGUACUAAUUUGCCCUUCCAUCAAAUUCCACCGCUCAGUUUGCUCCCAGUUCCGACGGCGCUCUCUUCCCUCAUCUCGCAUGGAAUGCGCCCGAUCGAACGGCAGUGCGGCGGUCGAUUGCGGUGACGGCGGGGGAUCGGGGCAGGGCAGGCGGACGCGUCGAUUGCGCUACCGUUAGGAUGCGGCGGUGGCAGCCGCUUGAGAGGGGAAGAUGCGUUUCCAGUUCGAGAACUAGGAGCACGGAGAGGGAUGACGCGUCUUCUUCUUCAUUCUCUUCCUCCCGUCAGCGGACGCAGCGGACAGGGAUGCGUUUGAGGAGUAGAAGCCAUAGCCUGUGUCUGCCUCGCGUUGGCCGUGUUGAUGAGGGUCUCCAGGAUCUCGCUCUUCCGCUUGGCAUGUCCUUUGCUGCCGUCGUUGCGCAGGACAAGUAUUCUAAACGCCAAAGAAACUAUUCAUGAAGACAAGGCUGGAACUUGACAUGAUAGUCGGAGUAUGAAUGAACUAGACUGUCAAAUUUUAUUAUAUCUGAAUAGAAUCCAGGUUCAAAGCAGACUCAAAUUUAGCUUCUACUGCAUAUUAUAUUAUAUAUUGAAUUAGUUAUCAGGCCAAUCACAUCAUCCUUCAUAUUACAAAGACCUAAUAUCAUCUUUUGAACAGAGGUGACUUGUAUUAGGGCAUCUUCUUGUACUAAGUUUAAGAGCGAUAAACUCUAUUGUUGAAAUGUUACCUUGUUUUUAUUGUGAUUAAAGAACCUUUUUUGAGAUAGUGGUGUAACUGUCUUUGUCCUAAUAUCUGACAAAUAAACAAGUGAAUUCCAUGUUCA
This is a long non-coding RNA of Musa acuminata AAA Group (dessert banana), 864 nucleotides long. RefSeq lists it as uncharacterized. The transcript is spliced from 2 exons. NCBI's taxonomy places the organism in Eukaryota, Viridiplantae, Streptophyta, Magnoliopsida, Zingiberales, Musaceae. The record is from RefSeq and is a predicted model, not a curated record.